RNAcentral lists this ribosomal RNA (731 nucleotides) under uncultured archaeon. RNAcentral describes it as "bacterial SSU rRNA". It matches the Rfam family "Archaeal small subunit ribosomal RNA", at positions 141 to 874 of the family's 1478-position model. The record is from RNAcentral.
UGGGUAUAAUACCCGAUAGGUCUCUAUUGCUGGAAUGCAUCGAGAAGAGAGCUCCGGCGCCUAAGGAUGGGUCUGCGGCCUAUCAGGUAGUAGUGGGUGUAGCGUACCUACUAGCCUACGACGGGUACGGGUUGUGAGAGCAAGAGCCCGUAGAUUGAUUCUGAUACACGAAUCCAGGCCCUACGGGGUGCAGCAGGCGCGAAAACUUUACAAUGCUGGCAACAGCGAUAAGGGAACCUCGAGUGCCAGGUUACAAAUCUGGCUGUCUAGAUGCCUAAAAAGCAUUUCAUAGCAAGGGCCGGGCAAGACCGGUGCCAGCCGCCGCGGUAACACCGGCGGCUCGAGUGGUAACCGUUAUUAUUGGGUCUAAAGGGUCUGUAGCCGGCCGGAUAAGUCUCUUGAGAAAUCUGGCAGCUUAACUGUCAGGCUUUCAGGAGAUACUGUCUGGCUCGAGGCCGGGAGAGGUGAGAGGUACUUCAGGGGUAGGGGUGAAAUCUUGUAAUCCUUGAAGGACCACCAGUGGCGAAGGCGUCUCACCAGAACGGACCUGACGGCAAGGGACGAAAGCUAGGGGCACGAACCGGAUUAGAUACCCGGGUAGUCCUAGCCGUAAACGAUACUCGCUAGGUGUCGGCCACGGUGCGACCGUUGUCGGUGCCGUAGGGAAGCCGUGAAGCGAGCCACCUGGGAAGUACGGCCGCAAGGCUGAAACUUAAAGGAAUUGGCGGGGG